AGAAAAUGUUUUCAGACUGCUCAUUUCUAUGUGGAAGACAGCAGUUCACCUCGAGUGGUCCCUAAUGAAAGUAUUCCUAUUAUUCCUAUUCCGGAUGACAUGGAAGCCAUUCCUGUCAAACAGUUUGUCAAACACAUCAGUGAGCUCUAUUCUAAUAACCAGCAUGGGUUCUCUGAGGAUUUUGAGGAAGUCCAGCGCUGUACUGCUGAUAUGAACAUCACUGCAGAACAUUCCAAUCAUCCAGAAAACAAGCACAAAAACAGAUACAUCAACAUUUUAGCAUGUGAGUAAUAAGCUUUAAACUAUCUUCAACUGCGAGGAAAUUAAAUUUCCAUGCUAGGUAUAAACUGAAAGCCAAGCAAUCAGAAGCAGGAUACCAAGAAAGAAUGAUUCUUGCAAGCUAACCUCUCAUUAGCCCAUCUUCAACAGUGUAGAAGUUGGGACAUUUUCUUCCCCCUUAGCCUUUCAUUAGGCUGUCAGAGCUCAGAGAGCUUAAUAAGGUGACUGAAAGAAAAUGUUUGGAGCUUCACUAUUUUCACAUGAAGUGAUGUCAUAUCACAUGUUGGGAGCCAAAAUUUGAAUGUCACUUAGUUAUAUUGACAUUGUUUUUAACCGGUAAGGGCCAAAUCUUUUAAUACAAAUGAAAAUACUGGGAAUUGAAUCAAGCAAGCUGAAUUUCAAAGCAUUCUUUCAAAGACUACAUAAUUGGCUUGUACCUUAAAUGAUAAGCCUCCAGGUCUUUUGGUCCAUGUGGUUACUCCUAUCUAUCACAUUUCCAUGGUCAGGAAUAUUCUGUAGGUUAGGGACUCAAACAAAUGGACAUUCUUCAUACACAGCCUCUUCAUACAGAGCCUCAAGGAAUACCCUAG
This 869-nucleotide small RNA is filed under the name Pongo abelii (Sumatran orangutan). RNAcentral describes it as "retained intron". The record is from RNAcentral. Lineage: Eukaryota; Metazoa; Chordata; Mammalia; Primates; Hominidae.